Molecule: ribosomal RNA, 203 nt
Filed under: Glaesserella parasuis
Lineage: Bacteria; Pseudomonadati; Pseudomonadota; Gammaproteobacteria; Pasteurellales; Pasteurellaceae
Description: partial 16S ribosomal RNA
Rfam family: Bacterial small subunit ribosomal RNA
Source: RNAcentral
CGAGUGGCGGACGGGUGAGUAAUGCUUGGGGAUCUGGCUUAUGGAGGGGGAUAACGACGGGAAACUGUCGCUAAUACCGCGUAGUAUCGGGAGAUGAAAGACUGGGACCGCAAGGCCAGUUGCCAUAAGAUGAGCCCAAGUGGGAUUAGGUAGUUGGUGGGGUAAAGGCCUACCAAGCCGACGAUCUCUAGCUGGUCUGAGAG